Molecule: ribosomal RNA, 440 nt
Filed under: uncultured bacterium
Lineage: Bacteria
Description: partial 16S ribosomal RNA
Rfam family: Bacterial small subunit ribosomal RNA
Source: RNAcentral
CCUACGGGAGGCAGCAGUAGGGAAUAUUGCUCAAUGGGGGAAACCCUGAAGCAGCAACGCCGCGUGGAGGAUGAAGGUUUUCGGAUUGUAAACUCCUUUUGUUAGAGAAGAUAAUGACGGUAUCUAACGAAUAAGCACCGGCUAACUCCGUGCCAGCAGCCGCGGUAAUACGGAGGGUGCAAGCGUUACUCCGAAUCAAUGGGCGUAAAGAGCGCGUAGGCGGGAUAGCAAGUCACAUGUGAAAUCCUAGGGCUUAACCAUAGAACUGCAAUUGAAACUGUUAUUCUAGAGUAUGGGAGAGGUAGGUGGAAUGCUUGGUGUAGGGGUAAAAUCCGUAGAGAUCAAGAGGAAUACUCAUUGCGAAGGCAACCUGCUAGAACAUAACUGACGCUGAUGCGCGAAAGCGUGGGGAGCAAACAGGAUUAGAUACCCGUGUAGUC